AGGGUGACAGGUGGUGCAUGGUUGUCGUCAGCUCGUGUCGUGAGAUGUUGGGUUAAGUCCCGCAACGAGCGCAACCCUCGACCUUAGUUGCCAGCAUUCAGUUGGGCACUCUAAGGUGACUGCCGGCUAAAAGUCGGAGGAAGGUGGGGAUGACGUCAAAUCAUCAUGCCCCUUAUGUCCUGGGCUGCACACGUGCUACAAUGGCCGGUACAAUGGGCUGCGAUGCCGCGAGGCGGAGCGAAUCCCAUAAAACCGGUCCCAGUUCGGAUCGGAGGCUGUAACCCGCCUCCGUGAAGUCGGAGUUGCUAGUAAUCGCGGAUCAGCAUGCCGCGGUCGAAUACGUUCCCGGGCCUU
RNAcentral lists this ribosomal RNA (354 nucleotides) under uncultured Anoxybacillus sp. Its description in RNAcentral is "bacterial SSU rRNA". It matches the Rfam family "Bacterial small subunit ribosomal RNA", at positions 1028 to 1382 of the family's 1533-position model. Lineage: Bacteria; Bacillati; Bacillota; Bacilli; Caryophanales; Anoxybacillaceae. The record is from RNAcentral.